AGGUGUAUGAUUGGUUAUAAAAUACUAGGGAUGGGAAGACUAGUCGUAAUAGUUGACUACGACUAGCUAGCAUCCAAGUAGUCGACUAUUUUUUAUUAGUCGACUAGUUGAAAGCCAUUUAUUAAGUUCAUUU
Thalassophryne amazonica is the source of this 133-nucleotide long non-coding RNA. RefSeq lists it as uncharacterized. NCBI's taxonomy places the organism in Eukaryota, Metazoa, Chordata, Actinopteri, Batrachoidiformes, Batrachoididae. The transcript has 3 exons. The record is from RefSeq and is a predicted model, not a curated record.